Molecule: ribosomal RNA, 253 nt
Filed under: uncultured bacterium
Lineage: Bacteria
Description: partial 16S ribosomal RNA
Rfam family: Bacterial small subunit ribosomal RNA
Source: RNAcentral
UACGUAGGUGGCAAGCGUUGUCCGGAUUUAUUGGGCGUAAAGAGCUCGUAGGCGGCUUGUUGCGUCGACUGUGAAAACCCGCGGCUUAACUGCGGGCUUGCAGUUGAUACGGGCAGGCUAGAGUUCGGUAGGGGAGACUGGAAUUCCUGGUGUAGCGGUGAAAUGCGCAGAUAUCAGGAGGAACACCGGUGGCGAAGGCGGGUCUCUGGGCCGAUACUGACGCUGAGGAGCGAAAGCGUGGGGAGCGAACAGG